UACGGAGGGUGCAAGCGUUGUCCGGAUUUACUGGGUGUAAAGGGUGCGUAGACGGCUAUGCAAGUCAGAAGUGAAAUCCAUGGGCUUAACCCAUGAACUGCUUUUGAAACUGUGUAGCUUGAGUGAUGUAGAGGUAGGCGGAAUUCCCGGUGUAGCGGUGGAAUGCGUAGAGAUCGGGAGGAACACCAGUGGCGAAGGCGGCCUACUGGGCAUUAACUGACGUUGAGGCACGAAAGCAUGGGUAGCAAACAGG
Molecule: ribosomal RNA, 253 nt
Filed under: uncultured bacterium
Lineage: Bacteria
Description: partial 16S ribosomal RNA
Rfam family: Bacterial small subunit ribosomal RNA
Source: RNAcentral